CCCUGAGAGGAUCAUGUUCCAAAUAGAGCUGCUUUUCUAGCUUUGGUCCCAGAAUGAAGAUGUGCAGAGCCACAGCUGACGCACAAGACAUGUAACGCCUCACUUCCCACAAGCUAUUCCUGGCCGAUGACUGAGCACAGCAGAGAAUUUUGGACAGACUUCUUCCUGGGAGGAGCUGAUGGAGGGAUAGACCUGUGGUUCUCAACAUUUCCUGUCUUACUGCCCCCCAAGUGCUCUGCAAUCAAAACAAGAAAACUGACUCUUAAUGACAUUUAUCCUGGCUGAUACCAGAGGAACUGUUACUGAAUC
Molecule: long non-coding RNA, 309 nt
Organism: Globicephala melas (long-finned pilot whale)
Lineage: Eukaryota; Metazoa; Chordata; Mammalia; Artiodactyla; Delphinidae
Source: RefSeq, a predicted model, not a curated record